RNAcentral lists this ribosomal RNA (497 nucleotides) under uncultured bacterium. Its description in RNAcentral is "partial 16S ribosomal RNA". It matches the Rfam family "Bacterial small subunit ribosomal RNA", at positions 28 to 507 of the family's 1533-position model. The record is from RNAcentral.
GAUGAACGCUGGCGGCGUGCCUAAUACAUGCAAGUCGAGCGAACGGACGAGAAGCUUGCUUCUCUGAUGUUAGCGGCGGACGGGUGAGUAACACGUGGAUAACCUACCUAUAAGACUGGGAUAACUGCGGGAAACCGGAGCUAAUACCGGAUAAUAUUUUGAACCGCAUGGUUCAAAAGUGAAUGACGGUCUUGCUGUCACUUAUAGAUGGAUCCGCGCUGCAUUAACUAGUUGGUAAGGUAACGGCUUACCAAGGCAACGAUGCAUAGCCGACCUGAGAGGGUGAUCGGCCACACUGGAACUGAGACGCGGUCCUGACUCCUACGGGAGGCAGCAGUAGGGAAUCUUCCGCAAUGGGCGAAAGCCUGACGGAGCAACGCCGCGUGGGUGAUGAAGGUCUUCGGAUCGUAAAACUCUGUUAUUGGGGUAGAACAUAUGUGUAAGUAACUGUGCACAUCUUGACGGUACCUAAUCAGAAAGCCACGGCUAACUACGUG